CAAGUACUUCCUCCGUUCGAAAAUACUUGUCAUCAAAAUGGAUAAAACGGGAUGUAUCUAGAACUAAAAAAGGUCUAGAUACAUCUCCUUUUAUUCAUUUUGAUGACAAAUAUUUUAGGCAUUCUUAA
Triticum aestivum (bread wheat) is the source of this 128-nucleotide non-coding RNA. The record is from Rfam. Lineage: Eukaryota; Viridiplantae; Streptophyta; Magnoliopsida; Poales; Poaceae.